This 1156-nucleotide long non-coding RNA is filed under the name Medicago truncatula (barrel medic). RNAcentral describes it as "long non-coding RNA (MTRU_LNC007054)". The record is from RNAcentral. Lineage: Eukaryota; Viridiplantae; Streptophyta; Magnoliopsida; Fabales; Fabaceae.
GCUCUCACUUCUCUCUUCCCUCAUCCGCGCCGGUUUCUGGAAAUCUGAAGAUGAUCUUCAUCUUCUCCGGUGGAGCUUGUUCCUCCGGCGUGGUGGCCGGCCACCCAAAGGUGGCGGCGCCGCCGCCGGAGUUGAGCAAACUCCUCCGAUUUUGAAAAUUUUUACAUUUUUAGAUAUCCUUUUUCAUGCUAUUCACGAAUCCAAACUUGGUUUUUUGAGAAAAAGUCCCAAUCAGAGUAGAUCUGACUUCAAAGAUUCGGAAAUUUUUGAACUCAACAAAGGAGGAAAGAGGAAAAGAAGAGUUAUUACCUAUUUGUGGUGUGUCGUGGAGCAAGGGAGAGAGCUUUGCUUUCUUCCGGAUCCGGAAUAUUCCUUCCUUAUUUCUCUUCUCCUUCACGUGAUUCUUUGACCGAAUUUGCUUGUUGUUUGGUGAUGAUCUUGGUGAUUUGAUUCGGAUUUUGUUGAUUUUUGUGGUUCUUGGUGCGGAUUUGUUGCUGGAUUCGGUUUUGUUGCUUUCGGUUUCGUUGCUUUCGGUUUCGUUGCUUUUUCUUCUCCUCCUCUCCCUGUGAUCGUGCUUGGAUUCGCCGCUUCCGGUGGCGGAUUCGCACUUGGAUUGCGGAGCAGAGACGAUUCGAUGAUGAAGAUUCGCAAAGAAUCUCUGAGAAUCACACAAAAGGAUGAUGAAUUUGAUGAAUUUGUGAUGAUUUUGGUUAGGGUUUAUGUGAAUGUUCUUGAUGAUUUCUGUUUUGAUCUGUAACUGAAAAGAGAGAGAUUGUGGCUUCUGUUUGUGGUGAUGUGGCGUGGAAUGAAUGGAUCUGGAUUAUGUGGCACUGUGAACAGUAUUUAUAGCUGAUGUGUGAGUGAUUGGACCAUUAGAAAGCUGACAUGUGGCAUUGGACUGAAAAAGGGGCGCUGCCCUGUAAUUUGACUUGAAGGACCUGUUUGCAAAUUUGAAAAAUAUAUGGACUGGACUGAAAAAUGAAAGUAAGGACUGAAAUGAAAUUAAAAACUGUUUGGACAAAAAAUGCAAUUUUGGGACCUCAAUUUGAGGGACCAAAAUGCAAUUAAAAAUAAAAUUGAAUAAAAAACGUAAUUUGACCAAACGUAAAGCGAAACAAAAAAUAAAAUUGACAAAACGGACUAAAACGAACCAAAG